Molecule: unclassified non-coding RNA, 764 nt
Filed under: Hevea brasiliensis (rubber tree)
Lineage: Eukaryota; Viridiplantae; Streptophyta; Magnoliopsida; Malpighiales; Euphorbiaceae
Source: RNAcentral
GCCUUCAAAACUUUAUGAAGAGCAGUGAGGGGGCUUGUAGUUGGUCCUUUGCAGUUGUACAAGUGAACAAAAAUGCCAGAUAAAAACCACAAAUAAGCAGCUCCCAUCACUAUUGUUAAAAUCCUGAAUCUAUCUUUCCAACUUAGUGGAGUCAUGAAAAACACAGAUAUUGCAGCCCCUAGAAACUUACAACACGCCACCAAAAUUUAGUACGAUCAAAAACUUGUUUCUCAUCUUCACCAGGCAGCUGAUCUGCAAGUAAUUCUUUGAAAGGAGGAUCUUUUCCUGCCUUGCCCAAAGCUACCAGAACCAGAUAAAAUACACCAACCUUUACUUUUGAAGGAAAAACCAUAUAAGCAUCAACCCCUAGCUCGCGCAAAAUUAUGGCUCAGAAGACAGGAAAAAAAGAAAUCCCAGCAACUCGAAGCAGCAAACGAGAAAUAGAAAAGCCGCAAAACCAUCACACAUCUGCACCAUGACAACUACCAACAACUGCUAAACAGAAAAACUAAAACCUACCCUACAAAAUCCACGGAACCAACAGAAAAUUGAGAGCCUUUCCCUUCUCCAUUGAAUCUAAGUGAAAGAGUAACCAAAUGUUCCAAGGAGAUCCAAGUAACCGAAAGUAGAGGCGACGACCACUGAGAGGAAUAGAAGAAAACACGUCUAAAGCUUUCUAAGCAAAGAUACGUCUUAGCUGAUUUGAUUUGCCAUAAACUCCACAAUGGCUUCUUCCGGUUAAGAGAAAACAAGUUUUAAUUUCU